This 471-nucleotide ribosomal RNA is filed under the name uncultured organism. RNAcentral's name for it is "partial 16S ribosomal RNA". It matches the Rfam family "Bacterial small subunit ribosomal RNA", at positions 333 to 796 of the family's 1533-position model. The record is from RNAcentral.
ACACUCCUGCGGGAGGCAGCAGUGGGGAAUAUUGCACAAUGGGCGCAAGCCUGAUGCAGCCAUGCCGCGUGUAUGAAGAAGGCCUUCGGGUUGUAAAGUACUUUCAGCGGGGAGGAAGGCAAUACGGUUAAUAACCGUGUUGAUUGACGUUACCCGCAGAAGAAGCACCGGCUAACUCCGUGCCAGCAGCCGCGGUAAUACGGAGGGUGCAAGCGUUAAUCGGAAUUACUGGGCGUAAAGCGCACGCAGGCGGUCUGUCAAGUCGGAUGUGAAAUCCCCGGGCUCAACCUGGGAACUGCAUUCGAAACUGUCAGGCUUGAGUCUUGUAGAGGGGGGUAGAAUUCCAGGUGUAGCGGUGAAAUGCGUAGAGAUCUGGAGGAAUACCGGUGGCGAAGGCGGCCCCCUGGACAAAGACUGACGCUCAGGUGCGAAAGCGUGGGGAGCAAACAGGAUUAGAUACCCCUGUAGUCC